Molecule: non-coding RNA, 73 nt
Organism: Sphaeroforma arctica JP610
Lineage: Eukaryota; Ichthyosporea; Ichthyophonida
Source: Rfam
UCCGAAGUAGCUCAGAUGGGAGAGCAUUCGACUGAAGAUCGAAAGGCACCAAGAUCGAUACUUGGCUUCGGCA